ACAUGGUUGCACCUUUCAGUACUUUUAUAUUUUCAUAUUUAGGAAACUUGGGUAAUUUGUUUUCUUGGAAGGUUCUAUUGCCUAAAAAAACAGCUAUAUUUUGACAAUACUGCCCUUUCAUAUUCAUAUUCUUACUUUAAACUUUGAGAAAGUGACUUAGAGGAGUACCCGGGUGGCCCAGUUAAGUGACCAACUGUCGAUUUCAGCUCAGGUCAUGAUCUCAGGGUCAUGAGUUCAAGCCUCACAUCAGGCUCCGCGCUGGGCAUGGAGCCUGCUUGAGUUUCUCUCCCUCUCCCUCUGUCCGACCUUCUCCAUCCCAACCCCAUAGGCACAUGCUUUCUAAAAAAAAAAGAAAGAAAGAAAAGAAAAGAAAGCAAAAACCCCCACAACUUAGAAAUGAUAUUGUGUUCUUCAUUUAUUCAUACCCAGUUAUGUAAGCAAAAACUUACAACUAAGACCAAUCAUCAACCCUGCCAUUGUAAAUUGUUUUUUUUUUAUUAUAGUUUCAUCGCAGACUCCUAAGACUUGUCCUCACCCCUGCCAAUUUUACAGAAAGAAUUCUAAACAAGAAUAUUUACUCUGUAAAGACCUCCAAAAUGUUUUCCCUUUCAAAUUUUGGCUGAUUUUAGAGAGGAAAAAAAAGUAAUAAUCUGAAACUCAAAGACUUGAUCUUACUUGAUUAGGUUCCAUAAUAAAAGAGCAAAGUGGGGCACCUGGGUGGCUCAGUUGGUUAAGCCCAGACUCUUAAUCUCAGCUCAGGUGUUGAUCUCAGGGUCCUGAGAUUGAGCCCCAUGUUGGGCUCUAUGCUGGGCAUGGAGCCUACUUUUUUUUUUUUUUAAAGGCAAAGUAGCUGAAGUAUCUAUAGUAAAAGAUUUCAGAAUAUUGUGUUUGUGUACAAUAUUACAUGCAAGCAGUUUCCAGUCUGAUGCAACGAAUUAAGCAGGUUCUAUGACACUGAAAAAGCUCCACUAUCAUAGCCUGUUAUGGAGCGUGAGUUCUGAUCUGUCAAAAUAAAAAUUUAAAAAGCAUAAAAAAGAUGCUAAUUUCUAUAAAAUGUAUAUUUCAUAACAUGUUUGGUACAGAAAGUCCUAGAAGUCAAGUUUUUAAAGUUCUACAAACUUAGAAAAUGAAAAAUACAAAUAUUCAUAAGGAGUUGUGUUUUCGACCAAGAAACAUUACCUUAAUCUUUCAAAGUAAAUCCUUUCUAAUUUCUGAACAUAGUGUUAUUGCAAUAAAGUGACCUGGUGGGCCUAAAUUUUUUUGUUCAAUCUAGACAUUUCAUUGAGAGGAAAAGAGCAGAGUCAGAACCCUGCUUUCUAUCUCAUCAUCCUAAUUCUGGUAACACUCAGCAAAUUCUCAAAUUCAAAAGCUUCUAGCAUUUGAGGCCAACAAGGUAAGAAAGGGAGCAAUUAUUCCUCUUUAUGGAGACUGAAUUAGAUACCAUUGUAACAGACACCCAUGGAUAUUCCAGAAACAUUUUAAAUUUUAUUGCAGUAGAUACUGUUGGGAAUCCAUCCAUUUCAGUAAUAAUAAACCACCCAGAUUGAUACUUUAUUCAAAAUUUAUGUUUUUUUUGAUCACAGGUGCAAUCCUUAGUCUCCAGUCCUACUAAGAGAUUGUAAUGUCCACUUAAGAUUGCAUAGUGCUGCAUGAAGCUUCAAAGGCUCUUCAUAAUCAGACACAGGACUUCAUCUAUACGUCCCGAGCCCCAGAAUCUGUUUCCACCUGUGUGCAGAAGCUCCUGUGGGCUCUGCCCACGUAUGGAGAAAACCUUAGCUCUGUCAGCUUCAGCUUUCUCCACGUUUAAAGUAAACGUACAUUUAGCUGUAAACUCAGGUUUGUUUUUAACUUCUGGUAAUUCUAAUCCUUUUAGCUGCACUGAAGAAUAUUUUAAUUUGUACCUUUGUUAUUUAUAAACCGCAGAGGUUUGUUUUUAACUUCUGGUAAUUCUAAUCCUUUUAACUGCACUGAAGAAUAUUUUAAUUUGUACCUUUGUUAUUUAUAAACCGCAGAGGACUUGCAUUGGCAGUGAUCAGGGGCGUGGGUGCACCGAGGGGUCCUCCUUCCCACCCUUUCUUAGGCUUAUCUGCUUGCUCUUCCUGGUCUCUUUCUCCUUAUCAUUCUUUUUCUCUCUCUUUUUUUUCUUUUUCUUUUUCUCUUUACUUCCUCCUAUCCUUCAAAAACCUGAGGAGUCCAUUAACCUUGCCUAGUUCCGCUGGCUGCCUGGCUGCCCUAAUAACUGGUCCCUGUGGCUUCAGAGGAUGGAAUCCCAUCCAGUUCACAUAACCUGGUGAAUGGCUUGCUCUCAGCCUUCAGCAUAGAGUUCUAUUGGUCCACGUUGAAAAAAUUAGUUACGUGAUAAAAAUCUAGGGAGGAAGUAAUAUGCUUCUUAUACAAUUGGCAUCUUUUGUGCUAACAUAUAAGAGUUUAUUUAAACAUUUAAGGUCGCACUUUCAGAGAAGAGAAGCUGUCAAGUUCUUAAUAUGCGUAUUUUAAGAGGGCAUAAUUUUUUACUUUGAUUUUCAUAUUCCAUUCAAGUUUUGCUAAAUGUUGGUCCUGAGAGCACAUUGUGGAGGAUGCUUUGGAAAAUAGUGGGCCCCUCAGCUGCGGUUCCUAAUGAAUCUGCCUUAGGCCGUGUUACGCUUUAUGGUAAAUGGUGUUAAGAGUGAAUUCCCAGAGUCUAGAGAUACAAGUGGAAAGGACACGUUCAUUAGCCCCAGUUUCAAAUUAUGUAAACAAUUUAAGUUUCAAACUCCUUAGGAAACUUCUAACACUGAAAACUUCAUUGUCGCCGGCAUAAACACGGAGGAGCAAUUUUUGCAUUAGACUGAAAAUUGUUGCUUUUUUUCAAAUGUGUGAAAAGGAGAAGGAAGUGAAAUGUUCUUGUUUUACAUUUACAUUCUUUAAUUUGAAAGACAAGUGUUGUCUUGGCUGGUAGAAAAAUGUAUCAUCGUCAUAGUUUAACUCUUAAAAACACAAAGUUUUUGCCUUGUUACUAAAAGAGAACAGGUUUGCCGUUUUUUUUUUUUUGUUGUUUGUUUUUUUCAGGUUUGCCAUUUGUAAUGGUGAUGUGGAAAUGUGGAGUAAGAACACAGGAGAGAGGGAAGGCUUGACAAUCAUUAAUUCUGCUCAUAUUACACUCACUGAUUUUUGGUGAUACUUAGGUAUAAAGGAGACAAAAAGACCAUUUCGAGCUGAGUUUGAGAAUGGUUUGUGGGGCAAAGAAUAACCAGGUGGGGAGCAACAGGAGACAGCUCAUGGGCUCAUUAUAAUUUCACAGUCAUAGCCCUUUGUAUCAGUUUAUUUGUGGGCAGACACUAAUGCUUUGUUUUAUAAACACCCUAUGGAGUGAUAGGUUACAACCCCAAAAAUAAAGGGCCAAAUGCCCAUAGCAAACGGGAAACCUGCAUACAACUUAACCACAAUUACUGAACUUACAUAAAUGUGGAUUUAAUCAGAUGACUCCUUCUGAGACAGUAAAGACCCACAAAAGGAUUCAUUACCACGUCUUUGAAUCACUCAAAGAAACCUUGAAACUUAAGAUCUAGUUUUCUUAGCUUGUCCUUUUUAAAAUGGUCCUUUUAAAUUAUUUUAAAUAAUAAACAUUAAUCAUCUUGACCUCUAUACAUUCAAGGAAAUUUCCCAUGGUACUGUUUUCUUGACAUACAUAGGAGGCUACCUCAUUUAUGAAACAGAAGAUUUCAAUUUCUUUUCAGUGUGUUAGAAAGACAUUGGGAAUGAAGUAAAACCUCUCUAAAUAACUUGAUCAUGACAGUCCACCUACCUCAGCUUUCAGUGUCCGACUAAAAGCCCAGCUUAAUCAAUUCUUGCUUAAUCAGAAAGGAGCUAGUGGUGACUGAGAUUAAAAGGCAAGGGAGUGCAAGUGGUAAAGGGGCCACAGUAUCAGUAAAAUUUCUUAAGGGCUUUGUUCUAAUAAGUGGACAUAAGAGGAACAAAAAAGUAUCUUCUAAUGUGGCCUGUGGAUAAUCUGAAAUAGGAAAACUCAAGAAAUUUAUAAUAUAUAGUAAUGAACACUUAGGAAAAUGCUUCACUGGUGGCUUUUCAUACUAUACUGGCAGCUUGAUGAUGAAGUUUUGUUUUCAUUUGUUUUCUUUGGCAGGAAAAUGGAUAAUCACUGACAACAGACUAUGCACUUGUGCCUUAACCUUACCGCUUACAUGUUAAACUCCUGCAGGACGCACCCCUUUCCUAGUGGAACAGGGCCCGUGGCAAUGAUCUUUCCUCUCACUGGAGUUUUAAAAAAUGUUGUCAUUGAGUGUGGCAAUGGUGUAGGAGUUAACCCACAAGUUCCCAAUCUAUUAAAGAUGUUUCUAAAAAAAAAAAAAAAAAAAAGAUGUUUCUAGCCUUUCAGUGAGUGCUGUACAGUAUUUUGGAGUUGAAUGUCACUAACCAUGUGUGUGUGGUGGGAACUAUCAGUAUAAAAUAACUAUUGGAAAUAUGAUUAAAUCUGUCAUACUAUUCUGGAGCCUCUGACGUAUGACUUUUAUUCUUUAACAAAUAAUACUUUUUAGUAUCUGUCCAUUAUUAGAAGAGCCAAUUUGUUAAAUAUUUUAAAUAUUUUUCUCUUAUGAUCUUCCCUAACCAUAGUCUCAUAAUUUAGUCUAUAUUGGAAUAGUAUUUCAGGGACUGAGGGUUUCUUGAGUGCUAUUUUUUGACCCCAUUGCAAUGAGCAGACUUUAUAGUUGGUGCCUUUUUUUCGUACCAAAGAAAAAUUAGAUCAAAAUUGGUGCUAAAUUUCACGUUCCUUUUAAAAUGAUUUUUUUCUUUUUUAAUAUAUGUAUAUCACAACAGGAAAUGUAUAGAUCCAGCAGUAUUAUGCAUGUUGUAUUCUGUAUAUACAUUUAAGGACAAAAACCUCACCUAUAAAAAGCAAUGGAAUUCCCAAAUCUGCUUAGAGGUAUAUAAUUUUUGUUAACACAUAAGGCUUUAAAGUAUAAAACUGAUAAGAAAAUGAUCACUAAAUGAAAACUUAGUAAUGAAUAUACCCCCUAAGGUAGUAACUUUAAGGAAAAAGUCCCAUACAAUGUUAUAUCUCAAAAAAUAAAAAUAAAAA
RNAcentral lists this long non-coding RNA (5074 nucleotides) under Canis lupus familiaris (dog). Its description in RNAcentral is "lncRNA (ENSCAFG00000055820.1)". The record is from RNAcentral. Lineage: Eukaryota; Metazoa; Chordata; Mammalia; Carnivora; Canidae.